UACGUAGGGGGCAAGCGUUGUCCGGAAUCACUGGGCGUAAAGGGUGCGUAGGCGGGUCUUUAAGUCAGGGGUGAAAUCCUGGAGCUCAACUCCAGAACUGCCUUUGAUACUGAAGAUCUUGAGUUCGGGAGAGGUGAGUGGAACUGCGAGUGUAGAGGUGAAAUUCGUAGAUAUUCGCAAGAACACCAGUGGCGAAGGCGGCUCACUGGCCCGAUACUGACGCUGAGGCACGAAAGCGUGGGGAGCAAACAGGG
RNAcentral lists this ribosomal RNA (254 nucleotides) under uncultured bacterium. Its description in RNAcentral is "partial 16S ribosomal RNA". It matches the Rfam family "Bacterial small subunit ribosomal RNA", at positions 524 to 777 of the family's 1533-position model. The record is from RNAcentral.